CAGCAGCCGCGGUAAUACGGAGGAUCCGAGCGUUAUCCGGAAUUAUUGGGUUUAAAGGGUGCGUAGGCGGAUAGAUAAGUCAGUGGUGAAAGACGGUGGCUCAACCAUCGCAGUGCCGUUGAUACUGUUUAUCUUGAAUAUGGAUGAGGCAGGCGGAAUGUGGCAAGUAGCGGUGAAAUGCAUAGAUAUGCCACAGAACACCGAUUGCGAAGGCAGCUUACCAAGGCAAAAUUGACGCUGAGGCACGAAAGCGUGGGGAUCGAACAGGAUUAGAUACCCCCGUAGUCCCUGUCUCUUAUAA
Molecule: ribosomal RNA, 301 nt
Filed under: uncultured bacterium
Lineage: Bacteria
Description: partial 16S ribosomal RNA
Rfam family: Bacterial small subunit ribosomal RNA
Source: RNAcentral